Non-coding RNA from Caenorhabditis elegans, 148 nucleotides. Lineage: Eukaryota; Metazoa; Nematoda; Chromadorea; Rhabditida; Rhabditidae. The record is from Ensembl.
AUUGGACCUGUGACUCGUUGGAAUCUUUCGAAAACCAGUGGAACAGCGCAUUUCGUCGUUUUCGGAGAAGUUCGGCGGCACGCUGUCGUUUGACUGCCUCUAGCUAAUUAUACCUCAUUUUCAAGCUCAUCCUACACUUCAGAAAAAA